Molecule: ribosomal RNA, 616 nt
Filed under: uncultured Bacteroidota bacterium
Lineage: Bacteria; Pseudomonadati; Bacteroidota
Description: bacterial SSU rRNA
Rfam family: Bacterial small subunit ribosomal RNA
Source: RNAcentral
GCUGGCGACCGGCCCUCGGGUGCGUAACACGUAUACAAUCUGCCUUUUACAGGGGGAUAGCCUUUCGAAAGAGAGAUUAAUACCCCAUAAUAGUUGUUCAGGCAUCUGAAUAAUUUGAAAGCUCCGGCGGUAAAAGAUGAGUAUGCGUCUGAUUAGCUAGUAGGUGAGGUAACGGCUCACCUAGGCCACGAUCAGUAGGGGAUCUGAGAGGACUACCCCUCACACGGAUACUGAGACACGGAUCCGACUCCUACGGGAGGCAGCAGUAAGGAAUAUUGGACAAUGCCCGCAAGGGUGAUCCAGCCAUGCCGCGUGCAGGAAGACGGCCCUAUGGGUUGUAAACUGCUUUUAUACAAGAGAAAACCUCCUUACGUGUAGGGAGCUGAUAGUAUUGUAGGAAUAAGCAUCGGCUAACUUCGUGCCAGCAGCCGCGGUAAGACGAAGGAUGCAAGCGUUAUCCGGAUUCAUUGGGUUUAAAGGGAGCGUAGGCGGUCUUAUAAGUCAGUGGUGAAAGCUCUUCGCUUAACGAAGAAAUUGCCAUUGAUACUGUAGGACUUGAGUACAGUUGCUGUGGGCGGAAUAUGACAUGUAGUGGUGAAAUACAUAGAGAUGUCAU